UACGGGGGGGGUAAGCGUUGUUCGGAAUUACUGGGCGUAAAGGGCUCGUAGGCGGCCAACUAAGUCGGACGUGAAAUCCCUCAGCUUAACUGGGGAACUGCGUCCGAUACUGGAUGGCUUGGAUUUGGGAGAGGGAUGCGGAAUUCCAGGUGUAGCGGUGAAAUGCGUAGAGAUGUGGAGGAACACCGAUGGCGAAGGCAGCCUCCUGGGCCGACACUGACGCUCAUGCACGAAAGCGUGGGGAGCAAACAGG
Molecule: ribosomal RNA, 253 nt
Filed under: uncultured bacterium
Lineage: Bacteria
Description: partial 16S ribosomal RNA
Rfam family: Bacterial small subunit ribosomal RNA
Source: RNAcentral